Molecule: non-coding RNA, 76 nt
Organism: Phthorimaea operculella (potato tuberworm)
Lineage: Eukaryota; Metazoa; Arthropoda; Insecta; Lepidoptera; Gelechiidae
Source: the annotation of a GenBank genome assembly
ACCGCGGUAGCCCAGUUGGUUAGGGCGUCGGCAGUACUGAUCCCGAAGGUCACAGGUUCAAAUCCUGCCUGCGGUG